Molecule: ribosomal RNA, 253 nt
Filed under: uncultured bacterium
Lineage: Bacteria
Description: partial 16S ribosomal RNA
Rfam family: Bacterial small subunit ribosomal RNA
Source: RNAcentral
UACAGAGGUCUCAAGCGUUGUUCGGAUUCAUUGGGCGUAAAGGGUGCGUAGGUGGCGUGGUGAGUCGGGUGUGAAAUUUCGGAGCUUAACUCCGAAACUGCAUUCGAUACUGCUGUGCUUGAGGACUGGAGAGGAGACUGGAAUUUACGGUGUAGCAGUGAAAUGCGUAGAGAUCGUAAGGAAGACCAGUGGCGAAGGCGGGUCUCUGGACAGUUCCUGACACUGAGGCACGAAGGCCAGGGGAGCAAACGGG